Molecule: transfer RNA, 73 nt
Filed under: Marophrys sp. SRT127
Lineage: Eukaryota; Centroplasthelida; Acanthocystida
Description: tRNA-Pro
Rfam family: tRNA
About the family: Transfer RNA (tRNA) molecules are approximately 80 nucleotides in length.
Source: RNAcentral
CAGGAUGUAGCAUAGUCUGGUAAUGCGUCUGUUUUGGGUACAGAAGAUCACGUGUUCAAAUCACGUCAUCCUG